GGAAGUUGGGGAGUCCUCCGCUGUCACGACUCGGAGUAUCGCGUGAUCUGGAAAUCGAGAACAAUGCAACGAUUACUGGACUCGGACUAGGACUGGUGGCGGAGAUGAAACUGGUGGAACUCGGACUGGUGGCUGAGAUGAAUCUGGUGGAACUCGGACUGGUGGCGGAUAUAUGUUGCAGGUGGACUCGGAUGGGCGUGAUGGCGGCGGAUAUGUGGUGGCGUAUAUGGAUUCGGAUUGGCGGUGAAUAUGUGGUGGUGGUAUAUGGCAGCGGCGACGUGACAACCUGUGAACAGAACUCGAAACUCUAAAAGACUAGACGCUAAGACCAGCAACUUGACACGACGAUGCAACCGCAAAUUCAACAAAGCAAAUAUAGAAAAGAUUAUGCAAAGGCUCAGAUUGGUUCGGAUGGGAUAAACUAACCCUAAUUUUUUUUUGGCUUUUUCGUGGACUAUAGGUAUGAAGAACAGACUCGAUCUAAACUACGAAAAACUGUAAAAUCUCACCGAGCAACCUGGAAAUCUGAUACCACUUGAUAGAGGCAAAGGUGUCUCGUCUUUCGAUGAGAUGAUGGAUAUUGCUUUGGUGGAAGUCGACUUUGACGAUCCGACUAUGAACGUGUGAGGACGUCGCGCCUUAGCAAUCGCUAAACCAACUCCGAGAGGUUAUUGACCACGCCGGAGCACGAUCAACCUGACCACGAGGGUCUGUUUCCUGCGAGCAAACGAAGAACAAGCAAGAAACUAAGAUUGCAAUCUGGAUAUUGCGAAUAUAAGAUGAAAGCUUUAUUGAUCAAGGUGGGGUUCUGUGACGCCUUUGUCUGGUCGUUGAACACAAACGAAGUACGCGAAGUUGCAGCUAUGGCGAACUUUUAAUCUAAACAAAACCCAAAGUCUAAACGAUGCCCUAAGGGCUGUAUAUAUGGAGGAAGAGGGGGGAAUUUCGUGGCCCUUGGUGGAGGGGUCCGAAAUCAACCCUAUCUCUUGUUUCCCCACACAUACGGACUCUAAAAAUAGCCUAUACUUAUGUAUUUCGAAAUUACAUGGGCCUGGCCCAAUAAUAAGGUGACGCAGCACCUAGAAUAGCCUCGGGACGAAAUUUAUGAAGUGGCAUCUUGUAUAUUUCGUCCAAGGCUUCAUGCACCCAUUAUGGUGGCUUCAAAGUCCUGAAAUCAUCACUUGUAACUCCGUUCUUGUUUCCCUUGCGCAUGCCAUCAUCUCCAUGCUUGUUCUUGCUCCAAUGUUCAUCCUUCUCCAAGCUAGGCCCUUCAUUUGUAAGCUAAACAAAUGAUAGAGGCAAAGGUGUCCCGUCUUUCGAUGAGAUGGUGGAUUUCGCUUUGGUGGAAGUCGACUUUGACGAUCCGACUACGAACGUGCGAGGACGUCGCGCCUUAGCAAUCGCUAAACCAACUCCGAGAGGUUAUUGACCACGCCGGAGCACGAUCAACCUGACCACGAGGGUCUGUUUCCUGCGAGCAAAC
This 1483-nucleotide long non-coding RNA is filed under the name Triticum aestivum (bread wheat). RNAcentral's name for it is "long non-coding RNA (TAES_LNC025574)". The record is from RNAcentral. Lineage: Eukaryota; Viridiplantae; Streptophyta; Magnoliopsida; Poales; Poaceae.